This 27-nucleotide non-coding RNA is filed under the name Bombyx mori (domestic silkworm). The record is from RNAcentral. Lineage: Eukaryota; Metazoa; Arthropoda; Insecta; Lepidoptera; Bombycidae.
UGUACACAAAAAAUUAUGAGACCUCGA